CUCUGGGGUUGCGGCGCUCAUCUCGCUUUACUGGCCGAGGGAGCCAGAGUACAGCUUCCGGGUCAUGUGGCCAGCAUGACUAAGCCGCUUCUGGCGAACCAGGGCAGCGCACGGAAAUGGCGUUUACCUUCCCGCCAGAGCGAUACCUAUUUAUCUAGUUGCACUUUGACGUGCUUUCUAACUGCUAGGUGGGCAGGAGCUGGGACCGAGCAAUGGGAGCUCACCCCGUCGUGGGGAUUCGAACCGCCGACCUUCUGAUUGGCAAGUCCUAGCUCUGUGCUUUAACCCACAGUGCCACUCGCGUCCCUUCUACAAGGACUAUAGGAAACUGAGUCAGGCCAAUGGUCUAUUUAGUUCAGAAUUGCUACAAGGACUAUAGGAAACUGCUUUAUACAGAGUCAGACCAAUAGCCUAUUUAGUUCUCCAGGGUUUCAGACUGCGGUCUCUCUCCACCCUACCUGCAGAUGCUGGUGAUUGAAUCUGGGAUGCAGAAGGUUUACCACUGAGCUACAGUUUCCACCUAGCUUCCAUCUAUUUAAAAGAGGCUUCAGCAGGAGACUUUCCCCAUUCACUUCCUUACUUUUAGCAUAGUUUCAAUACACUCUGAGCUGAAUCUGCUCAGAGAAUUAAUGGCUGGUAUCCAGAGAUACUCAAGAGGUAAGUCCAUGAUGUAGCACCACUGCAUUUGAAUGUCUUCUUUCAAAAUUGCAAUAAUUGAUUCAUACUUUUCCCACCCCUAUGUAACAUAUACAAAAUGGAGUCUGCAGAACUUCAGCAGCUGAUCUCCUUUUCCAUGGGCGGGUCUUCAUUUCCACCUAUGGAGAAGUAGAUUUGCAACAUCUUAUGCUCCCUUAUGUCCCAAGGGCCAUGAGAGUCCACCCUGAAAAAUGCUCAUUUAAAUGUGGUAAGUGUGGACCCAUUUAUUCCAAAAAAAGAGCACUGAGCCAGGAAAAUAUUUGCUGCCAACACCCCACCCUCUCCUGCCAUUGGUGUCCCUGGAUCACGGCUGAUGUGCAGGUCACCAGCUGUUUUCGUAUCGGACAUCUAUAUAAGCACUUACAAAACUCAAGCAAACAAACACUUGGGUGGAUGCAUGUUGCAGUUCAGAGAGAGCCUUCUAUAAAUAAGUCGGGGGCUUUGCAGAUUCUGCCCACCCCCUGUGAUUAGAGCCUUCAGCUUUCAAAGCCCCACCAAUAUCCUCCAACCUGUGACACGACUGCUAGAUGAUUCCUACCAGCCCAAGUGGUCUUUACAAUCUCUCUACUGCAAUUCCCUUCACUGCUCGCUGCUCUAAAUGGGGGAGCAACAUGAUUGUGGGGAGCACCAAAGCAGCAGUGUCUUAUCUUCCAGGCAUGGUGUUUCCUUUAUUUUUAUUUUCCCAUCCGGGAACAAUGAAGAAACCCCCAGGAUACUCCAGUGUCUGGCUCCACCGCUGCUCUGCACAUCUGGCUUCGUCCAGCUACAGCAUGUCCAGCUGUGAUGUGCAACAUUCAUCCCCCCCCAGAGAAGCUUCCCUGAUCCUAUCUGUGUUCUUUUAACAUCGCUCAAAAUUCCAGCAGAUGUCCUGGCUGAGCAUCACCUUCCAAGCCUACGUUGGAUUUCACUUGAAAUGAAAGUCAGUUGCAGCUCUAAGCCAGACAUAGGCAAACUCGGCUCUCCAGAUGUUUUGGGACUACAAUUCUCACCAUCCCUGACCACUGGUCCUGUUACCUAGGGAUGAUGGGAGUUGUAGUCCCAAAACAUCUGGAGGGCCGAGUUUGCCUAUGCCUGCUCUAAGCUGUUCAGAAAUAAUUAGGGUUGAAUGAUGGGUGGUGGGUAGCUUCAGAUUGGAUGGGGGGGCUGUGUGUUGAGAUCCCUGCAUUGCAGAGGGUUGGACUAGAUGACCCACAGGGUCCCUUCCAACUCUACAAUUAUAUUAUUCAUCUUCUGGUGUUUUUCAACCUAGCUGCCCUCUUGGUGGUAGCUAUUGGUGGUAGUGCUGGUUAUUGGUUCAUAACAUAAACAUAUGUGUUAAAUUUUGCACUUGAAAUCAGAACUUGGGGCGGCACUCUCUUAAUUUCUUUUAUAUGCUUCAGUCCAGCAUUUUUGUAAGGGGGGGACUUUUGUAAAGGGGUGGUUAAGAAAGCCCAACAGAGACUCCAUCUCCUCAGAGUACUGCGGAAGAACGAUGUCAAUCAACAUUUGAUGAUCUCCUUCUACCGGUCCACAAUAGAAAGUGUCCUAUCAUACAGCAUAUCAGUGUGUGAUACGCUGGUUUGACAUCAUCUGAUAGGAAGUGCCUACAGAGGGUGGUGAAUACAGCAUAAGAUAUUAUGGGUUGUCCCAUGAAUCCUCUGGAUGAAAAAUAGUGGAAGAAUGUUGCCUCAGGAGAGUGAGGAAAAUUCUCAGGGAUGAUUCACACCCUGGCUGGCACUUUCUUGAUCUCCUGCCCUCGGGCAGAAGAUAUAGAAGCAUGAUUAGUCGCACCAACAGGGUAAAGAACAGCUUCUAUCCGUGGGCUGUUAGGCUGCUGAAUGAAAAGAUAACAACAGGGUAACUGACUUUCGGACCAGGGAGAAGAGUCGGUGGAAGAAGAUUGGAAGAAAUUUAAAGACUAUUUACAGAAAUACUGCAAAAUUAAUGAAUGUUAGAAUGAUGUCAGAAUGAAGUUAAGUGGUUUUAGCAGCAAUGUUAUAAAGGUGUAUGUAAAAAUGGAUUGUUAACAGGUGAAAAUCCAAAGUUAUAAUAUAUUAAGUUAAAGGUUUAAGACUAAAACAAAGAGGGAAAGGAAUUGCUGAAUUAACCAAUAGAACUGGAAUACAAAAAGGGAGGUGUGAGAAGGUCAGGGAAGCAAGGUAAUGAAUGUAAGGCAUGGAAAGAUUGAUGUGUUUUUUUUAAGUGUCUUUUAUCUUUUUUCUGUAUUUUGUAUUUUUUUUUCAUUUUUUUUUCUUUCUUUUUUUCUUUUCUUUUUAUUCAUGUAAUUUUUUCUUUGAAACCUUAAUAAAUAUCAUUAAAAAAAAAACCAGGGCAACUGACUUUCGGGUUUGGUGGGUGUGCGUCAGUAAAAAAGGGAAAUUAAGACUAAGAGAGCUGAGUGGGGGGUGCUCGUGUAAUCUCACUGUAUACAAGUUGUACAAGUGACAAUAAAGUAUUUCAAUUUCAAUUUUAUGCACAUCUUCAUUAUCUCUGGUAUACACAGAAUCCCACCAACAUUGUGUUUGCUCAGGUACUGAAAUUCAUACACUGAAAUUAGAGCUGGGUGGAAACAAAAUACACAAUUUGCAUUUAAUAUUGGGGAGUUUGCAAGAAGGCUAUGAAUAAGGGUGAAGGUUUUCCUCAUUCAGAGUGAGAGCUAGUCUUGUUAUACGGCAUAAUCACAAAGCCAGUUCAGAGUGAUGGCAGGGGUAUUUGCCUUCACUCUGAAUUGACUCCAUGACCUCACCAAAUCUGAAUGGCCAUGCAACAUUUUGACAUUAUUACAGCGCAGGUGGCACUGAAACCACUGUUGAGAUGGACAGCCAUGAUAAAGUCAAGAAGGCGAGGAGUUCAUGGCAUGCAUCAAGCACAUUUUUGCUGUGAAAAUGUUUGCUGGUAAAAAAUUGGUGCUACCCAGAUAACGCUAAGGUUUUCCCCUGACAUAAUAAACACACAUUGUGACCACAAGGGGAUGCUUUCAUAUUCACCAUAUGAAAACCAAUGUGGUAAAACUUUAUGGAAAUGACUUCACCUUACCAUUUCAAUUACCUCUUAGAUUACAGUUUUUCCAAGUCCAUUUGAGCUCUAUAUACAUUGUGUUUUGGUCUCCAGUUUCUAAUUUCUUAGACUUGCAUUUUUUAAAAAAUAACAUAACAUUUCUGAGCCAAUGCAGAACCUGUUAUUCUUGGACUGAAGUCUUGUGUUUGGCUAUGUUUUCCUAGGACCAUUUUAUACUCUGUAUUCACAACAGCCCCGUGAGCAAUUAAAAUCCACAAGGAGCCCUGAUGUUCAGCAGAAUGAAAGGUGACCUUUCCCCUUUUGGAAUGUAGCAAUCUCCAACUCGCUUGUGUCUGACUAAAAAACCCAGGCCAAAUUGUCCAAGAAAAGCACCUCUUAAUAUGGAAACUCCCUGUUCGACUGAAAGCAGUUUGAGAUUCUUAGUUCAUUUCCCAUUGAGCUAUAACUCACAUCAUAAAAACCAUAACACACAUUUGUUGCUCCUUUCCCUUUUAUUCUUAAUGGAAGGGAGAAGGAACUCCCGUGAGGUGUAUCACUUUGUUGUUAAAACUGUCCCUGGGACGCAAGCAAUUACAAUCGCACACAUGUGCAAAUCAUGUCAGAUUCAGGGACGUCAGUUUGGGUUUCUCUCUGUUUCUCACUUUUCCAUUGCGGCUUGCCACAUUUCUGCUUCUGCAAGCCCUCACAAAAAAAUAAAAUAAAUCGGCAGAUCUCCUAAUAUAAGCAUGCUUAAGACAAUUUUUUACUAACAAACACAUAAGCAAGCAAUUUCUUCUAAUUAUCCAAUUUCCCCUAAUAUAAUGUGUUAUUGUAUUUCUGUCUCUCUCUCUCUCUCUCUCUCUCUCUCUCUCUCUCUCUCUCUCUCUCUCUUCUCUCUCUCCUGUGUGUGUGUGUAUUUUGUAAACAUUUCUGGGUUGGAGACCCACAUUGCAAAGUAUAAUAUCAGAGGAUAGCUGUGUUUUGGUUCACCUAUCAUUUGAGGAGGUGCACAUUAGGUAAAAGGUAAAGGUAAAGGGACCCCUGACCAUUAGGUCCAGUCGUGGCCGACUCUGGGGUUGCGGCGCUCAUCUCGCUUUAUUGGCCGAGGGAGCCGGCGUGCAGCUUCCAGGUCAUGUGGCCAGCAUGACUAAGCCGCUUCUGGCAAACCAGAGCAGCGCACGGAAACGCCGUUUACCUUCCCGCCGGAGUGGUACCUAUUUAUCUACUUGCACUUUGAUGUGCUUUCAAACUGCUAGGUUGGCAGGAGC
Molecule: long non-coding RNA, 4940 nt
Filed under: Podarcis lilfordi (Lilford's wall lizard)
Lineage: Eukaryota; Metazoa; Chordata; Lepidosauria; Squamata; Lacertidae
Source: RNAcentral